RNAcentral lists this unclassified non-coding RNA (432 nucleotides) under soil metagenome. RNAcentral's name for it is "partial contains 5.8S ribosomal RNA, internal transcribed spacer 2, and large subunit ribosomal RNA". The stretch from base 1 to 120 matches the Rfam family "5.8S ribosomal RNA", at positions 35 to 154 of the family's 154-position model. The record is from RNAcentral.
GAUGAAGAACGUAGCGAAAUGCGAUACGUAAUGUGAAUUGCAGAAUUCAGUGAAUCAUCGAAUCUUUGAACGCAUAUUGCGCUCUUUGGUAUUCCGAAGAGCAUGCUUGUUUGAGUAUCAGUAAACACCUCAAAGUCUUUUUUUUUUCUUGAAGAAAAAGAACUUGGACUUGAGCAAUCCCAACUCUUCUUUCAGAAGAGGCGGGUUGCUUGAAAUGCAGGUGCAGCUGGACAUUCUCCUGAGCUAAAAGCAUAGUCAUUUAGUCCCGUCAAACGGAUUAUUACUUUUGCUGCAGCUAACAUAAAGGGAGUUUGACCAUUUUGGCUGACUGAUGCAGGAAUUUCACAAGAGUCUUCAAAACGCUCUUGUUAAACUCGAUCUCAAAUCAAGUAAGACUACCCGCUGAACUUAAGCAUAUCAAUAAGCGGAGGA